Molecule: long non-coding RNA, 1671 nt
Organism: Macaca fascicularis (crab-eating macaque)
Lineage: Eukaryota; Metazoa; Chordata; Mammalia; Primates; Cercopithecidae
Source: Ensembl
CUGUGCUUUUGUUCUCUUCCGUGUUUCUAACACAGAGGCUGCCAGAGUAGCCCAGGCUUAAUCAAAGGGUAGGCACAGAUUAUGAGGGCGUUCUUUCCCCCAGACCAUCCACCACACAUUCAUUUCAUUCAUGAAUUCAUUUUUCUGUUCAGCCAAAAUUUAAUGUCAUCAUCUACAUGCUGGGGACACAACAGUGAGGGAAACGGACUGGGAGCUUACAGUUGACCGAUGGGACCCAACAGGUGGUCACUGCACACUGGAAUGUGGGACAUAUAGGACGCCUCCUGAACACGAAGAAGGAGACCUACCUCAGUUCUGCAGAGUCCGAGAAGACUUUCCCGAGAAGCUGACAACUCAGCUAAGACCUCAAAGAUAAGAUGGUUUAAUGUAAGCCAGAAAAGCAGGUUUAGAGUUCCAGGAAGUGGAGAAGUAAAAGUAUGACAUGGAAAGGGAGGGGGAAGGAGAGGAGCCUCUGGGACCACACAAUCCCCACUUCCCCCGCCAGCUACUUCCCAAAGAAACCAUCUCCCUCACCCUGAACAGGGACUAGUGGGGUUCAGGACCAUGGAGAGCACCACAGUGCUCUUCCAGGCACCAUUUUGGUCUUGCUAAUCCUGAAGGGCCCCGCUCAGGUUAAAGCCUGAGGAGAUGAAGGACAGGGUCUGGGGGUGCGGAAACCACCGGGCUGGGGACCAAGGAGGGAGAGUCCGGGGGCCAGCUGAGUCUGGGGAAUCAACUGUCAGCUCUCCAACUAGAUGAAGGCUGUAGUCACAGACCCAAGGGGAGCCUGGUGAGUUACACUUAGGCCUGGGAGCCCAGGAUCCCUGCUGGGCACAAGGAGAACAGCGGGAUGAUGGAGACAAGUGGUUCUCUACGGUCCCUGUUACCCAGGCUGGAGUGCAGUGGUAUGCAGUUUCGACCUCCUGGGCUGCAGUGAUCCUCCUGCCUCAACUUCCCAAGUAUCUGGGACUACAGGCAUGCACCACCACGCCUGGCUAGUUUUUGUAUUUUUUGUAGAGACGGAGUUUUGCCAUGUUGGUCAGACUGGUCUGGAACUCCUGGACUCAAGCGAUCCACCCACCUCAGCCUCCCAAAGUGCUGGGAUUCAGCAGCCCAGGGAACAGGCCCAGGGGAUGAGCUGCUGCAGUGGGGUCUGUGAGCUGGCCAUGAUACCUCCCAUGCCACUGUACUUCUUACAGCAUGGUGCCAAUACUCGUCCCUUUGAGAAGUGGGGUCUUUGUUCCCUUCCCUUGAGUUUUGGCAGGCCUAUGACUAUGUCAGAGGUAAAGUUAUGUGACUUCCGAGACUGGAUCAUGAACGGCAACACCGCUUCUGCCCAGUUCCUUAGAAUGAAGGAAGGCUGGCACCAUGGUGUGAGGAAGCCCAGGCUACACAGAGGCUGCAUGUGGAUGCUCCAGCCAACUGCCCCAGCCAAGGCUCAACCGCCAGACAUGGGCAUGAAGACAUCUUCAGAGCAACUCUGGCCCCAGCCACCGUGAUGGCAGGAGAGGCUCCCAGGGAGAACCAGUCAACCCCCAGGACUGUGGGACGUAGUAACAAAAUCUUGUUGGGGGCGAUGUGUUACCUAAAGAACAAUGAACAAAAAAUGCUGGUGUGUCACUGGUGCCUCCAGUGUUCCUACCUCACUGUUCUGAGACCUCACUUUUCAUA